GAUAAGAACGUAGCGAAAUGCGAUAAGUAAUGUGAAUUGCAGAAUUCAGUGAAUCAUCGAAUCUUUGAACGCACAUUGCGCCCGCUGGUAUUCCGGCGGGCAUGCCUGUUCGAGCGUCAUUUCAACCCUCAAGCUCUCCGGAGUUUGGUGUUGGGGCGCCUGGGGCUUUUCGACCUCAGGGCCCUCAAGUCCAUCGGCGGGACCGCCAGGACACUGAGCGCAGUAGUAUUAUUUCGCUCGGUAGGAUCUUCCACGGCGGGUCGAUCUGGCCGCUAAACCCCCCAAUUCUCACCAAAGGUUGACCUCGGAUCAGGUAGGAAUACCCGCUGAACUUAAGCAUAUCAAUAAGCGGAGGA
RNAcentral lists this unclassified non-coding RNA (356 nucleotides) under soil metagenome. RNAcentral's name for it is "partial contains 5.8S ribosomal RNA, internal transcribed spacer 2, and large subunit ribosomal RNA". The stretch from base 4 to 119 matches the Rfam family "5.8S ribosomal RNA", at positions 39 to 154 of the family's 154-position model. The record is from RNAcentral.